UGAUCCCACCCAGCACAAUCGAAUUAUGGGUGCUGUCCAUGAGCCUGGCCACUGGAUAUUAACUUUGAUAUUACCCUAGGAAAGACGCAGUAUUGUGGUGGACCCCCUAGGCAGUGAUUAACGCAAGGUCAAACUAUGUUUGCAGUCUACAAGGGCAUUCAUCCGGAAGAAGGUGCAAUGUGUCGAGGUGGACAGCCGGCACUGUUCCAUACACCCUGCAGGGGGACGACGACUCCAGCGGUGCCUUUGUCCUGAAA
This is a long non-coding RNA of Etheostoma cragini (Arkansas darter), 257 nucleotides long. RefSeq lists it as uncharacterized. The record is from RefSeq and is a predicted model, not a curated record. NCBI's taxonomy places the organism in Eukaryota, Metazoa, Chordata, Actinopteri, Perciformes, Percidae. The transcript is spliced from 3 exons.